AAACUAACAAGGAUUCCCCUAGUAACGGCGAGUGAAGAGGGAAGAGCCCAAGAUUGAAAGCUGGCGUCUUCGGCGUCCGCAUUGUAAUCUCAAGAAGUGUUUUCCGCUUCGGACCAAGCCUAAGUCCCCUGGAAAGGGGCAUCAUAGAGGGUGAUAAUCCCGUACAUGGCUUGGAGCGCCCGUAGCUUUGUGAUACACUUUCUAAGAGUCGAGUUGUUUGGGAAUGCAGCUCAAAAUGGGUGGUAAAUGCCAUCUAAGGCUAAAUAUUGGGGAGAGACCGAUAGCGAACAAGUACAGUGAUGGAAAGAUGAAAAGAACUUUGAAAAGAGAGUUAAACAGUACGUGAAAUUGCCAAAAGGGAAGGGUAGGAGGUCAGAGAUGCGGCCUAGGAUUCAGCCUUGCUUUUGCUUGGUGUUUUUCCUAGAUUGCAGGCCAACGUCGGUUUUGGGCACUGGAGAAGGGUGGAAGGAACGUGGCACCUCUCGGGGUGUGUUAUAGCCUUCCACUGGAUACAGCGACCGAGACCGAGGACAGCAGCGUACUCGCAAGAGCGGGCCUUCGGGCACCUUUACGCUUAGGGCGUUGGCAUAAUGGCCCUCUACCACCCGUCUUG
RNAcentral lists this ribosomal RNA (613 nucleotides) under Pseudozyma tsukubaensis. RNAcentral describes it as "LSU rRNA". It matches the Rfam family "Eukaryotic large subunit ribosomal RNA", at positions 62 to 656 of the family's 3401-position model. The record is from RNAcentral. Lineage: Eukaryota; Fungi; Basidiomycota; Ustilaginomycetes; Ustilaginales; Ustilaginaceae.